CCUACGGGAGGCAGCAGUGGGGAAUUUUGGACAAUGGGCGCAAGCCUGAUCCAGCCAUGCCGCGUGUGGGAAGAAGGCCUUCGGGUUGUAAACCACUUUUGUCAGGGAAGAAACGGUUUGAUCUAAUACAUCGGACUAAUGACGGUACCUGAAGAAUAAGCACCGGCUAACUACGUGCCAGCAGCCGCGGUAAUACGUAGGGUGCAAGCGUUAAUCGGAAUUACUGGGCGUAAAGCGUGCGCAGGCGGCUUUGCAAGACAGAUGUGAAAUCCCCGGGCUCAACCUGGGAACUGCAUUUGUGACUGCAUGGCUAGAGUACGGUAGAGGGGGAUGGAAUUCCGCGUGUAGCAGUGAAAUGCGUAGAUAUGCGGAGGAACACCGAUGGCGAAGGCAAUCCCCUGGACCUGUACUGACGCUCAUGCACGAAAGCGUGGGGAGCAAACAGGAUUAGAUACCCUGGUAGUCCACGCCCUAAACGAUGUCAACUGGUUGUUGGACGGCUUGCUGUUCAGUAACGAAGCUAACGCGUGAAGUUGACCGCCUGGGGAGUACGGCCGCAAGGUUGAAACGUCAAAGGAAUUGACGG
Molecule: ribosomal RNA, 586 nt
Filed under: uncultured bacterium
Lineage: Bacteria
Description: bacterial SSU rRNA
Rfam family: Bacterial small subunit ribosomal RNA
Source: RNAcentral